RNAcentral lists this ribosomal RNA (397 nucleotides) under uncultured bacterium. RNAcentral's name for it is "bacterial SSU rRNA". It matches the Rfam family "Bacterial small subunit ribosomal RNA", at positions 28 to 431 of the family's 1533-position model. The record is from RNAcentral.
GACGAACGCUGGCGGCGUGCUUAACACAUGCAAGUCGAGCGGUAAGGCCCUUUCGGGGGUACACGAGCGGCGAACGGGUGAGUAACACGUGGGUGACCUGCCCUCAGCUCUGGGAUAAGCCUGGGAAACCGGGUCUAAUACUGGAUAUGACUCCAUGACGCAUGUUGUGGGGUGGAAAGCCUUGUGCGGCUGAGGAUGGGCCCGCGGCCUAUCAGCUUGUUGGUGGGGUGAGGCCUACCAAGGCGACGACGGGUAGCCGGCCUGAGAGGGCGACCGGCCACACUGGGACUGAGACACGGCCCAGACUCCUACGGGAGGCAGCAGUGGGGAAUCUUGCGCAAUGGGCGAAAGCCUGACGCAGCGACGCCGCGUGAGGGAUGACGGCCUGGUGUAACGU